Molecule: small nucleolar RNA, 137 nt
Filed under: Ornithorhynchus anatinus (platypus)
Lineage: Eukaryota; Metazoa; Chordata; Mammalia; Monotremata; Ornithorhynchidae
Source: RNAcentral
CCCCUCUCAGGGUCACACCUGGAGAGUUUCCAGUACUCUACCAGUUUCAGUUACGGAGGGAGAGUCAAGCAGAGGCAAAUCCAUUCUAUUCCUAGCUCGGGCAGCAGCUAGCCAGUGGAAGGCAAUCUGCUACAAGU